GCUGGUGGAGGUGAGUUCCUCAGCCCAGAUUGUGAGAGGGCACAGGCCAGGCCGAGGGACCCCACUAGUGCACG
This 74-nucleotide microRNA precursor is filed under the name Myotis lucifugus (little brown bat). RNAcentral's name for it is "mir-9193 microRNA precursor family". It matches the Rfam family "mir-9193 microRNA precursor family". The record is from Rfam by way of RNAcentral. Lineage: Eukaryota; Metazoa; Chordata; Mammalia; Chiroptera; Vespertilionidae.